CCCUGAGCUGCUUUUCUUGCUGGAAGAUCUCUCCCAGAAGCUGGAGAGUAUGCUGACACCUCCUAUUGCCAGGAGAGUCCCCUUUCUCAAGAACAAAGGAAGCCGGAAUAUUGGAUUCUCACAUCUCCAACAGAGAUCUGCCCAAGAAAUUGUUCAUUGUGUUUUUCAACUGCUGACCCCAAUGUGUAACCACCUGGAGAACAUUCACAACUAUUUUCAGUGUUUAGCUGCUGAGAAUCACGGUGUAGUUGAUGGACCAGCAGUGAAAGUUCAGGAGUACCACAUAAUGUCUUCCUGCUAUCAGAGGCUGCUGCAGAUUUUUCAUGGACUUUUUGCUU
Molecule: long non-coding RNA, 338 nt
Filed under: Pan troglodytes (chimpanzee)
Lineage: Eukaryota; Metazoa; Chordata; Mammalia; Primates; Hominidae
Description: long non-coding RNA NONPTRT011274
Source: RNAcentral